GGAAGGAUCCCUAAACAGAAUCGUGCGGUAGUGCUGGUUCUUACAAGUGCACACCGCCACUUCUCUAUUCACCCCAUGUGCACCUCUGCGUCGCCGGCAUCUCCGGCUUCGCCUUAUUUACACAAAAACCUUUGUAUCGAAUGUCUUGUUGGAACAAUAAUAAAAUACAACUAUCAACAACGGAUCUCUUGGCAUCCCACUCGAUGAAGAACGCAGCGAAUUGCGAUAAGUAAUGUGAAUUGCAGAAUUCAGUGAAUCAUCGAAUCUUUGAACGCACCUUGCACCCUCCAGUCUUCUGGAGGGUACGCCCGGUUGAGUAUUAUGAUCACCUCAAACCUCUGGCUUUCUUAUUGCAAAGGCCGAUGCUUUGACAAAGGCGCCCACCGGGGUGCUGACAGUUGGAGUUUGGCUUGGAGAACCGGCAGGUCUUGGACUUGAGUUUAUGUUGGUUCCAUAUGGAUCGACUCACUCGAAAUGCAUUAGCUGGCAACCCACUCCUGACGGUUACCACUUGGCGUAGUAAGUCUUAUUCGUCAAGGACACCUUGCGCCUUCACAGGGGCAGGUGGCCGUUGUGCUGUGUCUUGAUGGCCGCUUCUAAUCGUCUCCGGACAACACACGAAACCUUUAAUCUCAACUCGGGUAGGACUACCCGCUGAACUUAAGCAUAUCAAUAAGCGGAGGAAAAGAAACUAACAAGGAUUCCCCUAGUAACGGCGAGUGAAGCGGGAAGAGCUCAAAUUUUAAAUCUGGCGUCUUACGGGCGUCCGAGUUGUAAUCUAGAGAAGCGUUUUCUGUGCUGGACCCACCAUAAGUUACCUCGAACGGUACAUCAUAGAGGGUGAGAAUCCCGUGUGUUGGUGGGACGCCCAGUGCUCUGCGAUACGUUCUCGACGAGUCGAGUUGUUUGGGAAUGCAGCUCAAAAUGGGAGGUAAAUUCCUUCUAAAGCUAAAUACAUUGGGAUGACCGAUAGCGAACAAGUACCNUGAG
This 990-nucleotide ribosomal RNA is filed under the name uncultured fungus. RNAcentral's name for it is "eukaryotic LSU rRNA". The stretch from base 628 to 990 matches the Rfam family "Eukaryotic large subunit ribosomal RNA", at positions 1 to 357 of the family's 3401-position model. The record is from RNAcentral. Lineage: Eukaryota; Fungi.